This 72-nucleotide transfer RNA is filed under the name Bos taurus (domestic cattle). It matches the Rfam family "tRNA". Rfam says of the family: Transfer RNA (tRNA) molecules are approximately 80 nucleotides in length. Their secondary structure includes four short double-helical elements and three loops (D, anti-codon, and T loops). Lineage: Eukaryota; Metazoa; Chordata; Mammalia; Artiodactyla; Bovidae. The record is from Rfam by way of RNAcentral. RNAcentral also lists the same sequence under 1 other name.
UCGCUUGUGGCUCAGCUGGUAAAGAAUCCACCUGCAAUGUGGGAGACCUGGGUUCGAUUCCUGGCUUGGGAA